AGAGUUUGAUCAUGGCUCAGAAUCAACGCUGGCGGCGUGCCUCAGACAUGCAAGUCGAACGCGAAAGUUCCCUUCGGGGAGCAAGUAGAGUGGCGCACGGGUGAGUAACACGUAGGUAAUCUACCUUUGGAUGGGGAAUAACAACCGGAAACGGUUGCUAAUACCGCAUAAUGCAGCGGCACCUAAUGGUGACAGUUGUUAAAGCGGGGGAUCGUAAGACCUCGCGUCUAAAGAGGAGCCUGCGGCGGAUUAGCUAGUUGGUAAGGUAACGGCUUACCAAGGCGAUGAUCCGUAGCCGGCCUGAGAGGGCGGUCGGCCACACUGACACUGACAUACGGGUCAGACUCCUACGGGAGGCAGCAGUCGGGAAUUUUGGGCAAUGGGCGAAAGCCUGACCCAGCAACGCCGCGUGAAGGAUGAAAUCCCUCGGGAUGUAAACUUCGCAAGAACAGGAAGAAUAAGUAAGAGUUAAUAUCUCUUACGAUGACGGUACUGUUUGUAAGCUCCGGCUAACUCCGUGCCAGCAGCCGCGGUAAUACGGGGGGAGCAAGCGCUGUUCGGAUUUACUGGGCGUAAAGGGCGCGUAGGCGGCCACCGCAAGUCAGUUGUGAAAGCUCUGGGCUUAACCCAGAAAGGUCAACUGAUACUGCGGGGCUAGAGUGCAGAAGGGGCAACUGGAAUUCUCGGUGUAGCGGUGAAAUGCGUAGAUAUCGAGAGGAACACCUGCGGCGAAGGCGGGUUGCUGGGCUGACACUGACGCUGAGGCGCGAAAGCUAGGGGAGCGAACGGGAUUAGAUACCCCGGUAGUCCUAGCCUUAAACGAUGAAUGCUUGGUGUCUGGGGUUUUAUAGUCCCCGGGUGCCGUCGCUAACGCUUUAAGCAUUCCGCCUGGGGAGUACGGUCGCAAGACUGA
This 913-nucleotide ribosomal RNA is filed under the name uncultured bacterium. RNAcentral describes it as "bacterial SSU rRNA". It matches the Rfam family "Bacterial small subunit ribosomal RNA", at positions 8 to 897 of the family's 1533-position model. The record is from RNAcentral.